GCGACGGUGGCGGAAUUGGUAGACGCGCUAGCUUCAGGUGUUAGUGUCUUAACGGACGUGAGGGUUCAAGUCCCUCCCCUCGCACCA
RNAcentral lists this transfer RNA (87 nucleotides) under Siccibacter turicensis. RNAcentral's name for it is "tRNA-Leu". It matches the Rfam family "tRNA". From Rfam's summary of the family: Transfer RNA (tRNA) molecules are approximately 80 nucleotides in length. Their secondary structure includes four short double-helical elements and three loops (D, anti-codon, and T loops). Further hydrogen bonds mediate the characteristic L-shaped molecular structure. tRNAs have two regions of fundamental functional importance: the anti-codon, which is responsible for specific mRNA codon recognition, and the 3' end, to which the tRNAs corresponding amino acid is attached (by aminoacyl-tRNA synthetases). tRNAs cope with the degeneracy of the genetic code in two manners: having more than one tRNA (with a specific anti-codon) for a particular amino acid; and 'wobble' base-pairing, i.e. permitting non-standard base-pairing at the 3rd anti-codon position. The record is from RNAcentral. RNAcentral also lists the same sequence under 2 other names. Lineage: Bacteria; Pseudomonadati; Pseudomonadota; Gammaproteobacteria; Enterobacterales; Enterobacteriaceae.